CCAAUGAUUGUUUUCAUAUAGCUGUAUCCCUUCAUCUUCUAUCUUUGUGUAGCUAUUAGGAUUUCAAAUCUGUUGUCUCCACUUGUCUGUGUAAUUCUCAGUUCUAAGAUGGAGAGAGCAAACUUAACAUGUCAAUGGAGAAAUACAACUUAGCCACAUUACCACAGCACAUUGUUAUAUCCUUAUAAGAAAAGUUAGCUAAUGGAUAAAACACCAUGGGGCACUUUUCCAGAAUUGCCCAUCCAGAAGUCUUCUAGUGCUUUUUGCCAUUAAUGAAUGAACAAGUCCCUUGAGGGGUAGGUAGCAUUAUCUCCAUUUUACAGAUGAUAACCCUGAGGCAUGGAGAGAGUAAUGCCCAAUAUCACGCAGGAAAUGAAUGCCAGGGCUAAGAAGGGUACCCAAGCAUUUGGCUUCCCAUUUCAUCUUUAAAUGUGAGAGAGAUUGCCAGGCUAUGCUUUGAUAUAAACUAACUUUUUGUAUGACAUCACAGCAAAAUUCUAUGACUGUAUGUAAUCCUGUGCUUGUGAACGGCAUUUCUCUUAGGGACCAUCUGGAUGUGAUCAAAAUGAGUCUAUAGGUUUAGCUAAAAGGAACAAACUGUACUGACCCUUGGAGAAAUUUCAAGCUCACUUCCUUCCGUAACUAACAUCAUGGUCGCAGUAUUAACUUCUGGUUCUGCCAAAAAAAAAGAAAAAAAAGAAGUAUAAUAUGCCUAUUUAUGCAUGUGGGAGUUUUAUUUGAACCAGAGAUAUGAUUCAUUCUUUUCUUAAAAAAGCACAAACCCUCCACUGAGGAUUGAAAUUGUCCCCAGGUCUAAUUAUUGCAAUAGAAUCCAAGCUGGAAGAAGGCAGAGAACGGAGCAGAGUGGAGAGCACUUAGCUACCAAAUAGGUGGAAUAGGAUCUGGCUUUUAGUACCUCUUAGAGCAAGUCUGAUCCCUGGUUUUGUUGGAAGACUUCUUGGAUGAAGAAAAGAGAGGGCACUUCCUUAAUCCCUUAUUUGUGUGUCAGCUGUUGAAUCUUCAUGAAGAACCAUCCUUCUAGGGAAGCUGGGGCCCUGGGUGGGGGGGAUGGGGCCCUCCAGGGUGCCUGGGACCCUGGGCG
This is a long non-coding RNA of Gavialis gangeticus (Gharial), 1102 nucleotides long. RefSeq lists it as uncharacterized. The record is from RefSeq and is a predicted model, not a curated record. NCBI's taxonomy places the organism in Eukaryota, Metazoa, Chordata, Crocodylia, Gavialidae. The transcript is spliced from 3 exons.